UCCCUGGUGGUCCAGUGGUCAGGACUCUUCGCUUCCUGUGCAUAGCGUGCAGGUUCAACCCCUGUUUAGGGAA
Molecule: transfer RNA, 73 nt
Filed under: Ovis aries (sheep)
Lineage: Eukaryota; Metazoa; Chordata; Mammalia; Artiodactyla; Bovidae
Rfam family: tRNA
About the family: Transfer RNA (tRNA) molecules are approximately 80 nucleotides in length. Their secondary structure includes four short double-helical elements and three loops (D, anti-codon, and T loops).
Source: Rfam by way of RNAcentral